AUUGAACGCUGGCGGCAUGCUUUACACAUGCAAGUCGAACGGCAGCGCGGGCUUCGGCCUGGCGGCGAGUGGCGAACGGGUGAGUAAUGCAUCGGAACGUGCCCAGUAGUGGGGGAUAGCCCGGCGAAAGCCGGAUUAAUACCGCAUACGACCUGAGGGUGAAAGCGGGGGACCGAAAGGCCUCGCGCUAUUGGAGCGUCCGAUGUCGGAUUAGCUAGUUGGUGGGGUAAAGGCUUACCAAGGCGACGAUCCGUAGCUGGUCUGAGAGGACGACCAGCCACACGGGGACUGAGACACGGCCCAGCCUCCUAAGGGAGGCAGCAGUGGGGAAUUUUGGAGAAUGGGGGCAACCCUGCUCCAGCCAUGCCGCGAGCGGGAAGAAGGCCUUCGGGUUGUAAACCGCUUUUGUUCGGGAAGAAAUCCUCUGGGCUAAUACCCCGGGGGGAUGACGGUACCGGAAGAAUAAGCACCGGCUAACUACGU
RNAcentral lists this ribosomal RNA (483 nucleotides) under uncultured bacterium. RNAcentral's name for it is "partial 16S ribosomal RNA". It matches the Rfam family "Bacterial small subunit ribosomal RNA", at positions 28 to 506 of the family's 1533-position model. The record is from RNAcentral.